This 1067-nucleotide ribosomal RNA is filed under the name Salmonella enterica. RNAcentral describes it as "bacterial SSU rRNA". It matches the Rfam family "Bacterial small subunit ribosomal RNA", at positions 1 to 1057 of the family's 1533-position model. Lineage: Bacteria; Pseudomonadati; Pseudomonadota; Gammaproteobacteria; Enterobacterales; Enterobacteriaceae. The record is from RNAcentral.
AAAUUGAAGAGUUUGAUCAUGGCUCAGAUUGAACGCUGGCGGCAGGCCUAACACAUGCAAGUCGAACGGUAACAGGAAGCAGCUUGCUGCUUUGCUGACGAGUGGCGGACGGGUGAGUAAUGUCUGGGAAACUGCCUGAUGGAGGGGGAUAACUACUGGAAACGGUGGCUAAUACCGCAUAACGUCGCAAGACCAAAGAGGGGGACCUUCGGGCCUCUUGCCAUCAGAUGUGCCCAGAUGGGAUUAGCUUGUUGGUGAGGUAACGGCUCACCAAGGCGACGAUCCCUAGCUGGUCUGAGAGGAUGACCAGCCACACUGGAACUGAGACACGGUCCAGACUCCUACGGGAGGCAGCAGUGGGGAAUAUUGCACAAUGGGCGCAAGCCUGAUGCAGCCAUGCCGCGUGUAUGAAGAAGGCCUUCGGGUUGUAAAGUACUUUCAGCGGGGAGGAAGGUGUUGUGGUUAAUAACCGCAGCAAUUGACGUUACCCGCAGAAGAAGCACCGGCUAACUCCGUGCCAGCAGCCGCGGUAAUACGGAGGGUGCAAGCGUUAAUCGGAAUUACUGGGCGUAAAGCGCACGCAGGCGGUCUGUCAAGUCGGAUGUGAAAUCCCCGGGCUCAACCUGGGAACUGCAUUCGAAACUGGCAGGCUUGAGUCUUGUAGAGGGGGGUAGAAUUCCAGGUGUAGCGGUGAAAUGCGUAGAGAUCUGGAGGAAUACCGGUGGCGAAGGCGGCCCCCUGGACAAAGACUGACGCUCAGGUGCGAAAGCGUGGGGAGCAAACAGGAUUAGAUACCCUGGUAGUCCACGCCGUAAACGAUGUCUACUUGGAGGUUGUGCCCUUGAGGCGUGGCUUCCGGAGCUAACGCGUUAAGUAGACCGCCUGGGGAGUACGGCCGCAAGGUUAAAACUCAAAUGAAUUGACGGGGGCCCGCACAAGCGGUGGAGCAUGUGGUUUAAUUCGAUGCAACGCGAAGAACCUUACCUGGUCUUGACAUCCACGGAAGUUUUCAGAGAUGAGAAUGUGCCUUCGGGAACCGUGAGACAGGUGCUGCAUGGCUGUCGUCA